Cavia porcellus (domestic guinea pig) is the source of this 2952-nucleotide long non-coding RNA. RefSeq lists it as uncharacterized. Lineage: Eukaryota; Metazoa; Chordata; Mammalia; Rodentia; Caviidae. The record is from RefSeq and is a predicted model, not a curated record. The transcript is spliced from 2 exons.
AAACUAUCGUCUCGUGCACUUAACAUAUAAAACAGUCACUCCCUUCAAGUCUACUGUCCAAAGGCCAAGUGCAUCCUCAUGGAGCAGAGCAGUAUUUACUGUCCUAAUAAGGCACCAGCUUUCCAUCCUAACACCAGGAUGCUGGGACCAUGGCCCUGUGAAGAGGAAAGCACAUUUCACUCACAGCCUGGAGGUCUCCUCCAUGGUCAGCAGCCUCUGAAAGCCUGGAGGAGGCAGCACAUGAUGGCAGAAGCUCUCGAUGGGAAAGCAGUGACAUCAUGGCCAGCAAGAGAGCCAGAGCAGAGAUGGACUCAGUCCCACAGUGCCCACAAGGUCACAGUCCCAGUAGCAGAGGACCUCUGCAGAUGCGGCACCUAGUUGCUCAGAACCUCCAAGCUUCUGAGGGAAUUCAGCUCCGAACCAUUCCUACCUGCGGUCUAGCUGAGCUCCCACAUGCUCCUCCUCACCCUGCCUGUACCCUACUUACCCUAAGAAGUUGAACUCCACUGGAGCUGCACAUGUGGCACUUUCUGUGUCAUCCCUUCUGAUUGUGUGAAAAUGGAUCCUGUAAACAUUCCAUGCACAUUCAUCAUUCUGUUUUUUCAGACAGAAGUGGUCAUCAUUAUCUUAAGUGCACUGUGCCAUAGUGAAAGUUACCUACAAUCCUGCAAGAUAAGAAAAAAUGGGAUCAACAAGACAGAGGACAACUGGACUCAUGGUCAAUGGUGAGAGUCCCAGCAUUUAUACUCUGCCCAGCAGGUUUUUAAACUCAAGUCCAAUUUCCAGGAUGAGCCUUUCUUCUUCUAGGUGAAGGACAGACACAGAGGCAAGUCCUUAGCACUGAACCUGAAAUCUCAGUAAUUGGACCCCAAAGUCAUAUAGAGAAAAGAGCAACAGUAUUAUUCUCACGAGCAGUAUUGCCAAUUAAGGGGUAAAAGCAGGACUGCGGUGAACUCAAAGUAAAACGUGGGCUGAUAAGAUGAAGAUGCACUAGAAAUUGACUGUAAGGUACAUUUUUCAGUUUAAAUUAGGAUCUAGGGUGAGAGAAGCCCAUCACUGGUAUUUUCACUGACUGAAGGUAGAUAAGAUAGAUGCUGAUUUAGAAAAAGUCAUAGCAGCUUUAGGACUAGUCUUUGAGAGAGAAGGAAGCCAAAAAUUUCUCUGAUCAUCAUGGAUGUUGUCACUGUAUAGCUAAUACCACAGUACUGCCACAUAAUUUACAGUAGUAGACCGUGUCAUAAAAAUUAAGGAUAUAAUUGGGCACACAGUACUCAUUUUAAACAUUGCUCUAAACUAUUACUCUCAAAUCUCGGUGUUUAAAUUCACAGGCACCCUAAUGUCUGUGUAAGGCUUUCUUGGAAGAAUUUCCAGGUAUCUUUGAUAAGAAGAAAACUUUGUACACAUUUUUAGCCUCAUCUUUAGAGAUGAAUUUAGACUAAGCUGCAUCACCUGGGUCUCAGGGAGGGAGCAGGGAAUGAAGACAGCCCUUACCCACCUGAGUCAUACUUUCUGUUGUUGUGGCCACUGCUGUUGCUGCCAUUGUGUGGUAAGUGACAGAACACUGAUACCACCCAUGCAGUCACCUGGCUGAGAUAAAAUGCUAUCAUCCAGACCAGUGUACACGGAGGACAACUAGAGCUCUGAAGUUUGGAAGACAUAGUUCAUUCUGCAGAAUAUCUGCAGGGAAAUUGAAGGCAAUUUGUGCUCUGGUAAUAAUUUUAAAAGCAAGAAUAUUCAAAACAACCUACAGUACCAAGUUUGAUAAUUAAAAAAAAAAGAAAUCAAAAAAGAAAAUGCUAUGAAAUAUUAGCUUGAUGAAAGUUUUUAGAAGCAAUAUUACAAACUCGUGAAAUUCUAGCUGAAGAAUAAAAAAAUAUAUACAUUCUUUGAAACUAUCAUAACAUUUGUUUUCCUCCCACAACUGGAAAAGCAAGACCAUGGUUUAUAUUGCUUUCUCCAGCUGUUCCAUAUCUCAUAUGCUGCCUAUAUUUAAGAGCACAUGUUACUCAAUCUUCUUGCUACAGUUGAGAGCAAGAAUGUCCCCUGAAUGCUUUUAGAUGGUGUUUUAUCCACGUGGCCAGUCCAGCUGGUUAGGAGGCUGCCUCUCUUGGCAUGACCCGGAAGUUCUACCUCCUCACUACUUCCACUUCCUGGUCACCGUGACCCACGUAGCUCUGCUCCCCCAGCCUCCUGUGCCGCCAUUUCUGUCAGGAGGCAGCCAGUUACAUGCUGCAACCUGUAAAAACCGUGCGUCCAACGAGACCUCAUCUCAUUUAAAUUGUGUGUGUUGGAAUUAGCUUCCUGUUACAGGAAGAGGCGAAGACACCGCAUCUGGUGGAUGGCCGUAGAUUCUCUUAAAUUCCACUAGACAGGCUGAAAUAAAUCUUUUCUAAAAUAUUAUUUUAAAGGUACAGAAGAGAAAGUCCAUCCACUCUCCUUUCUCAUUUCUUAGGAAUUCCGUGGCGCUGUGUGUCCGUGAAAUAUCUGCACUCCCUUGCUCACUCACUGUGCUUUCUAAACUGCAGGGUUCAGCGUUGGGUAUCACUAACAUUUCAGUGGCACACUGUGCACACCCACAUGACAUUCCGACCAGGGUAGAGGGUGUUAAAUACACAAACACAAACAUGAUUUCAAAGUGUGACAGAGACUGAAAGAAAAACCAUAACUUCUGUCCCAUUGAAGGACCUGGCCCUACCCACGCAGGCCUGAUGAUGAGAGGCUUCAGGAGGGGAAGGCGCCCCAGAGGUGCUGCGGGCUAAGCAAAGUGGGUCUGGGUGCUGUGACCACAGCGAAGCCCCAGUGCUUGGUACAGACCAGGAAGGACAGUAGUGUGACCUGGUCCACAGGGAGGGCAAGAGCUGCAGGGACGAACGGAUGACAAAAUGAUUCAAGGGGAAAAAAAAAAAAAAAAAAAAAAAAAAACCCUCAGUAGAAAACUUAGCAAGGGCUUUU